Non-coding RNA from Heterocephalus glaber (naked mole-rat), 1930 nucleotides. The record is from RefSeq and is a predicted model, not a curated record. NCBI's taxonomy places the organism in Eukaryota, Metazoa, Chordata, Mammalia, Rodentia, Bathyergidae.
GGGGCCGCGUGGUGGCUGGGAGGACUGGGAGGGGACGGUCCACGCUGGGUGUCCCCGAAGCACCCUCGGGCUGGUGUCCUUGACUCGCCUCCUCGCCCUCAACAGCCUGGGCCACUCUCCGCAUCCUAAUCUGUCUCCUUGAGAGCCCCCCCUCAGGAGCCGAGGGGAGGAAUUCCGCAGUUCCCUUCCCACACAGCCAAAAUCCCUCAACUGUCGCCUCAGGAACACCGCAUCCCACACCCCGAGCCGCCGAGAGCUCCCUCGCACGCCAACACCAGCCCUUCUCUUGCGGCUUCGGUGCCCUGGCUGAGGGAAUCCCACUCCAGGGAGCAGAGGGAGGUGGUUUUAUUUCUUCUUUAAUAGCCCACUCGCCUGUCUGCAUAGAAAUCACCGGUUAUGCUGCUGUGGCUGCUAAACGUGGCACCUAGACUUGUCCUCGGAGGUGCUUGCCUCUGCCGUUGAGAUAAAGGCUGUUGUACAGAUCCUGGUUCCCCUGGCUGGAAGAAAAAGACCCUUGAACCCAAAACCUAUUCUUUAAUCACAUUUGUGCUGUCCUUGAAGUCUGUACAAAGCCUAGGUCUCAGCGCUGUCAAUUUAGAGAUGUCAUCCUACUAAAUGGGAAGGACCCUUUCUUUGCAUUGAAUUCAGAGACGUAUUUACAAAGAGGAGCAGUUUUCUUAAAGGAAUAGGUUGCCGAAUAAAGCAGUCCACUUGUGCGUGUGUUUAGCAAUAUGGCACCAUCCACGUGAGCAUAAGCAGAGGGAAAAAAAAUCGACCUCAGUCGUCCCACAUGGUACAGCCUUAGGAUUUAAGAUAGAUUCCUUCAACAGAUGAUGCAAAUCACAGCGCAUUACCCGGCUGAAAAAAAAAUCGGGCACGUCACUUCAUUUAAUUAUUUCCAAGGAGUGGAGGCUGGCAUGCAGUUUUGAUUGAUACUUGGAAAAGGACCAACAGAACCCUACACAAACAAACAGGAAUUCUACUGUAUGGCGUCGACACACUCCCUAGGAGACGAGAGGUGGAAACUGGUUGGGUCACGUGACUGCGGGGUGUGGUCCUGGAGGGCUUUGCCCUCCGAGACCAGCUCUGCACUGUUUCUUACCACUUGGGCCUUACCACGUCUCUUGGCACCAACAGAAGCCCCGAAGGCUUGAGGAUUACCUUUUCCAGCCUGGAAAUUAGGCAGUCGACUUUGGAGGCGUGAUGUGGUGCCAUCUGCUUGGGGUUGCGAGUACCUGUUCAGUGCCGAGCUUCCUGAGGGGAUCCUGACUUCAGCCUUUGUCUGGAAGGCACUUCCUUCAGGUCCUGGGAAACCCCCUUCCAGCUUAUCGUUCGGAUCUCAACUGCUUACAGCUGCCAAAUGGCAACAUACUCAGACUGAAUGGAUGAUGCUCACUUCUAGCCAUUUCUCCAGCCACAGGAAGUGCCACACUCCAAACUCUGGCCACAGCAUCCUCUACCUGGACGUCAUGUGCCUCCACACGUCACUGACAGGAGCCUUAGUCCUUGGAUCCUUCGUGGAAGACUGCUGCUGUUGCUCACGAUCCUUCAUCGUUCCUUUGUACUCUUUGACACUAGCCAUCUAGAUCAAUCCCAUCAUCUUCCCAGUGAGAAAACUGAGGUCCAUGGUCAGGUGCUGAACCAGGUUUCAAGGCAGAACCACUUCAGUACUUCCUCAGCACCGGCAGUCCAUCAAGAUUCACCCAGGACUUCUUUAUGAAAUCACAGGAUGCCCCAUAGUGUGUUACCUCACUGUGGGAAACAUACUGGCAGUGGCUGCAGGGCAGAAACAGCAGACUUUGGAGCCAGCCAGGCCUGGAGGACAUUGAAACUCUGCUGUGUACAGGAUUUCAGAGCUUUCAGUCUGUGGGCAUUUGUUGCUUUGGGGUCUGUGGCAAAGCAGUAAAUUCAUCUACUAAGGUGCUUACAA